This 254-nucleotide ribosomal RNA is filed under the name uncultured bacterium. Its description in RNAcentral is "partial 16S ribosomal RNA". It matches the Rfam family "Bacterial small subunit ribosomal RNA", at positions 524 to 776 of the family's 1533-position model. The record is from RNAcentral.
UACAGAGGUCUCAAGCGUUGUUCGGAUUCAUUGGGCGUAAAGGGUGCGUAGGUGGCGUCGUAAGUCGGGUGUGAAAUUUCGGAGCUUAACUCCGAAACUGCGUCCGAUACUGGCGGGCUUGAAUCCGGGAGAGGGAUGCGGAAUUCCAGGUGUAGCGGUGAAUGCGUAGAUAUCUGGAGGAACACCGGUGGCGAAGGCGGCAUCCGUGGACCGGCAGUUGACGCUGAGGCGCGAAAGCUAGGGGAGCAAACGGG